This is a non-coding RNA of Mycena latifolia, 94 nucleotides long. The record is from the annotation of a GenBank genome assembly. Lineage: Eukaryota; Fungi; Basidiomycota; Agaricomycetes; Agaricales; Mycenaceae.
GCUUGCAUAGCUCAGCGGUAGAGCACUACAUUAACUUACGGUUUUGAAGGGAUUGCUUCAGGUGGAGAUCCGAGUUCGACUCUCGGUGCAAGUA